This is a long non-coding RNA of Oncorhynchus tshawytscha (Chinook salmon), 3841 nucleotides long. The record is from Ensembl. Lineage: Eukaryota; Metazoa; Chordata; Actinopteri; Salmoniformes; Salmonidae.
CUGGGAUCGUUUAUUUCAACUCAUGAAAUAUGGGACCAAGACUUUACAUGUUGUGUUUAUAUUUUUGUUCAGUAUAUAUCAUUUCUGUUCCCCUUCAUUGAUACUCUGUAAUAUAUAUAGUCGAUGUUCCUGUCCAUUGAUGUUGUGUCAUUGAGUCUGGUCUGAUGAAUGUUAAUAUCCCCGCAUAUGGAUGAGGCCAGAUAACUGCUUGGAGGGCUGUGAUUGGUUGAGCCAGUAGGACACAAUAGAGCCUCUUCCUUUGUGGUGUCCAGGUGCAGACACUUCAAGGCAUGAAGAGAGGUGGGGGCUCUGUCCUCUCCUACACACAACACUGCAACAAACACACCGGAUCACCCAAAGAAGAACAAACAGUCCAGGAAGGAGGCACUCUCCUCCAGCCUGUUUUAAACAAUACAUUACCACCCAGUACAAUGAUUGUGCGUUAUUUUAUCUUUAUUUUAUCUUAAAGACUUUAAAUGCCCACAUCCUUUUCUUGGAAUAUAACAGAAAAAAACUCAACCAUAUACACUGUAAACAUUCACAUUUGAUUAAAAGGUAUCCCCUAGUUAGUAAACGUACCACAAAAGAGCACAGUUGAUUAUGAACAGAAAAAAAAUUAACCUGUAUAGCAGUGGCUCUCCAAACCUUAACCUUUGCAUUUUGAAGUUGAUCUAUGUUCAAUUAAUCAGCUCGUCCCAAAUGGUACCCUAUUCCCAAUAGUGCUCUACUUUUGACCAGGGCCUAUAGGGCUCAGGUCAAAGAUAGUGCCCUAUAUAGGGGCUAGAGAGUGCCAUUCGGACACAUGAUUUCCCAACCCUCCUGGGGAAACACCAGGCUGCAAGUAUUAGUUCUAGCUCUGCCCUAUUUGACACCUAGGUCAGCUGACCAAGGGUUUGGCGGUGAGGUAAUCAGGUGUGUUAGUAUAGGGCUGGAACAAAGAUGUGGACUGUCUGGUCUCCCAAGAAGAAGGUUGAGACGCUGUUGUAGGACAAUUCGAAGUACUGUACCACCAUGAAGCAUGAUAGCAGACCGAGGACUGCACACGGAUACAUCCCGAUCCUCCAAGGAUGCACUUGCACACUCCACAUCGUGGAUUUAAAGGCUAGAGGGAGUUUCCACCAUUGUGAAAUCCAUGACCGUUUGCACCUGUGCACUUCGGAAGAAGGGUAGAGAAUCGGGACACAGUCAACCUCUCCAUCCUUGCCUCAUAAAGGUCUAGCUCAUCAAAGAGAGUCAACCUGUCCUUCUCUGAUUCAUUAAGAAAUGUGAUUCCUUAUCCCUCCAUGAUAGAUGAACAUAACCUGAGGACUAGUGUUUUUCCUCCCCCGUCCAUCGUCAUGAUAGAUGAACCUAACCUGAGGACUAGUGUUUUUCCUUCCCCACUCAUGAUGAUAGAUGAACCUAACCUGAGGACUAGUGUUUUUCCUUCCCCACUCAUGAUGAUAGAUGAACCUAACCUGAGGACUAGUGUUUUUCCUCCCCCACUCAUGAUGAUAGAUGAACCUAACCUGAGGACUAGUGUUUUUCCUCCCCCACUCAUGAUGAUAGAUGAACCUAACCUGAGGACUAGUGUUUUUCCUCCCCCGUCCAUCGUGAUGAUUGAUGAACCUAACCUGAGGACUAGUGUAAGAUCCAAAGCUGGGGCCUAUCAAGCCUUUAGCUCUGUGGACGAAUGUGGUCUUGAGGCACUCAAAUGACUCUGGUUCGAUACCCGGUUUGUUUGGUCACGUCUAGAAUGAAUAAACACAAACCUCAUGCAGUCCUUCAGCAAAUUAGAAGGACUGGUCUCCCCAGCACCAUGUUCCCUAUAUAGUGCACUACUUUAGAUCAGGGCCCAUUAGCACCCUGUUCCCUUUAUAGUACACUAGGGUACCAUUCCCGAUGCAGACGUGGUGAACACUAUUGCCUGGUGGAGAGAUGACGUCACAACAGGAUCUGAUGUCAAGGCACUUCCCCAGAGAGAGAGGAUCUUGUCUUUCAGUGUCUGUGAGGCACCAACAUAUUAAACUAGAUAAUAAAACAGAAUAAUGUCAUUAUUAAACACUUGGCUAGUUCGGAGAACUGGAUUUCUAAAUAAUAAUAAUAACACUGUUUAUUUGGUAGGUUGGUGUCACUUUUAAGCUGGCGAGCCUGGUCUGUUGCUGGGCUGUGUGCAUCUGGUAGUCCUUUUUGAUUAGAAACUCAUCUGGCUUUUGAAACGCAGCACUAACUGUGAGAUAUGCUGUAAGAGACGCUAUCCUGGUACACAGAUUAAGCCUAGUCCUGUAUCAAACACCAAUCUCAUUUGAGAAUCUUAAUUGAAAGUGUUUUUUUUUUCAUCCAGGAAUAGGCUUAAUUUCUGUUCGGGAAAACUGGCCAUAACUGUGGAGCCGUUGCAGUGACACCCCGCUGUUCUACUGGCCAUCAGGAGAAACUAUUGUUAACAGGUCAUUAUCAGGUCCUAACGGGAAUACUGUUAACAUGUCAUUAUCUAGCCCUAACUGGACUACUGUUAACAUGUCAUUAUCUAGCCCUAACUGGACUACUGUUAACAUGUCAUUAUCUAGCCCUAACUGUACUACUGUUAACAUGUCAUUAUCUAGCCCUAACUGGACUACUGUUAACAUGUCAUUAUCUAGCCCUAACUGGACUACUGUUAACAUGUCAUUAUCUAGCCCUAACUGUACUACUGUUAACAUGUCAUUAUCUAGCCCUAACUGGACUACUGUUAACAUGUCAUUAUCUAGCCCUAACUGGACUACUGUUAACAUGUCAUUAUCUAGCCCUAACUGGACUACUGUUAACAUGUCAUUAUCUAGCCCUAACUGGACUACUGUUAACAGAGAUCAUUAUCUAGCCCUAACUGGACUACUGUUAACAGGUCAUUAUCUAGCCCUAACUGGACUACUGUUAACAUGUCAUUAUCUAGCCCUAACUGGACUACUGUUAACAUGUCAUUAUCUAGCCCUAACUGGACUACUGUUAACAUGUCAUUAUCUUGCCCUAACUGGACUACUGUUAACAUGCCAUUAUCUAGCCCUAACUGGAUUACUGUUAACAGAGAUCAUUAUCUAGCCCUAACUGGACUACUGUUAACAUGUCAUUAUCUAGCCCUAACUGGACAACUGUUAACAUGUAAUUAUCUAGCCCUAACUGGACUACUGUCAACAUGUCAUUAUCUAGCCCUAACUGGACUACUGUUAACAGAGAUCAUUAUCUAGCCCUAACUGGACUACUGUUAACAUGUCAUUAUCUAGCCCUAACUGGACUACUGUUAACAGAGAUCAUUAUCUAGCCCUAACUGGACUACUGUUAACAUGUCAUUAUCUAGCCCUAACUGGACUACUGUUAACACGCCAUUAUCUAGCCCUAACUGGACAACUGUUAACAUGUCAUUAUCUUGCCCUAACUGGACUACUGUUAACAUGCCAUUAUCUAGCCCUAACUGGAUUACUGUUAACAGAGAUCAUUAUCUAGCCCUAACUGGACUACUGUAAACAUGUCAUUAUCUAGGCCUAACUGGACUACUGUUAACAUGUCAUUAUCUAGCCCUAACUGGACUACUGUUAACAUGUCAUUAUCUAGCCCUAACUGGACUACUGUUAACAUGUCAUUAUCUAGCCCUAACUGGACUACUGUUAACAGAGAUCAUUAUCUAGCCCUAACUGGACUACUGUUAACAUGUCAUUAUCUAGCCCUAACUGGACUACUGUUAACAUGUCAUUAUCUAGUCCUAACUGGACUACUGUUAACAUGUCAUUAUCUAGCCCUAACUGGACUACUGUUAACAUGUCAUUAUCUAGCCCUAACUGGACAACUGUUAACAUGUCAAUAUCUAGCCCUAACUGGACUACUGUUAACA